UGGGUGAUCUGCCCUGCACUCUGGGAUAAGCUUGGGAAACUGGGUCUAAUACUGGAUAUGACUGCAGCAUGCAUGUGUUGUGGUGGAAAGAUUUAUCGGUGCAGGAUGGGCCCGCGGCCUAUCAGCUUGUUGGUGGGGUAAUGGCCUACCAAGGCGACGACGGGUAGCCGACCUGAGAGGGUGACCGGCCACACUGGGACUGAGACACGGCCCAGAUCCGUACGGGG
Molecule: ribosomal RNA, 227 nt
Filed under: uncultured bacterium
Lineage: Bacteria
Description: partial 16S ribosomal RNA
Rfam family: Bacterial small subunit ribosomal RNA
Source: RNAcentral